GUAUAUAUAAAUCUCAGUAACGCUUUUUAUCUCAAACUAGUUGGUGGAUGAAAAUGAAAAGCAUAAUGGUAGAAAGACUGAAAGAAAUAGAAAGAUAAAUCAGAUAAAAAAAUACGAAAGAAUAAAAUAAAAAUGAUAAAUAAAAUAUAAUAAACAGAUGCAAUGCAAGAAAUUAUUUAAAAUAUACGCCCACAUAAUUAUUUUACAAGGGAGUGAUCCAUAGCCACCGCUAGCUAUGGAUCAUUUCCCAGCCAGUUGAUCUAUAGCCAAUCAUCUCAACAACGGACGACCAGAUUAGAAAGGGAUAAUUACUAUCCGCAAGUUCCAUGGACCUAUGUGUGUACGUAUACAUAAGAACAAGGCAUUGAACAACUGCUAAACGGCUAAAAGAUCCUUGCAUUUCUCUCUAUCCAAAACCUGGAGAAUCGCUAAGCAUCUGGACUUGCACAGGGCUAUAAGUUGUUGCUUCGGUAAGAAUUAACUCCAAAUAUAUCAUAAUACUGUUUCUUUUAUCUGGUUGCCUGAUUCUGCUACUGCUUGCUUGUGACUACUGAAAAUAAAGCUUAUUGUUUCAUUGAUUUUUAUUAGGAAAAUGACUUGUUGAACUUAGAAACAUAAACAAAUUUGUCGAAAGCUCUAGACAGGGAAUCUUGCAAGAGAUACCUAUCCUAGCCUGGCGAUUUGGGAGUUGGGACCUUAUUAAAGACUGCAUAGCCUCAGUUUUCGUGAGGUAAAGUAUUAUCCUAGAUGGAGGAAACGUGGUAAUGCCAUAUUUGGUUGCACAAAAGAAGGCUGUUGAAAGAGAGGCAGACGAUAUGAGCACUCUUUUUUUGCAUUCAUAUUGAAAUGUCUCUUUAUCCAUCACACCACCAGCUGGCUUGGCUAUUGGGUUGCCCUGGCCACUGGUAGAUCACUUCAACCAGGUGUUUAAGUUUAAUGAUGUUUAUGAUUGAUAUAC
RNAcentral lists this long non-coding RNA (958 nucleotides) under Panax ginseng (ginseng). RNAcentral describes it as "long non-coding RNA (PGIN_LNC016886)". The record is from RNAcentral. Lineage: Eukaryota; Viridiplantae; Streptophyta; Magnoliopsida; Apiales; Araliaceae.